This is a long non-coding RNA of Camelina sativa (false flax), 861 nucleotides long. RefSeq lists it as uncharacterized. NCBI's taxonomy places the organism in Eukaryota, Viridiplantae, Streptophyta, Magnoliopsida, Brassicales, Brassicaceae. The record is from RefSeq and is a predicted model, not a curated record.
AUUUGUCUGAGUGAGAUACUUCUGUUUGGCUGCUGCUGACCGAAUCUCUUUCAUCUUGAACUGUCAGAUUUGGUUCUUUCCCCUGCUGAACUGAUGAAAGACUAGUACGUUCACUACGAACUGGUUUAUGCUUACUCACCGAUGACUUGUAGCUCUUGAUCCCCUGUCAUGUUGGAUUUGGAAUGACCUCCUUGGAGAUGGACAAGGAGGAACAGACGAUAUUCUGAACAAAUUUUAAGUAUUAGGAUUUUAGUUCCUGUAGUCUUUCUGCAUGCAAAGAUGCCACUAUUGUUGACCAAGAGAUGAGUUAAGUCAAGGAACAAUGAUCAUUCAGGAUUUUUUUCUGCAACUUGAAGAAACAUGAACCACAUACUUAUAUAGACAAACAUAAACUCCACGCAUACACAUAUAUGAACAUGUGCACAAUUUCUAUGAUUGUGUGAUCUUGAGGACGACAAUUUUGAAGGAACACGUUUGGGGUUUCCCUGGCUAGUCUUGAAGUUUUUCAAGAGAAGACAUUUGUAACAAUAAUAUCUUGGACGGCAGAGAAGUCGCUUUACAAUCUAUUUAGUCAUAGACUUCUAAAUGGUAUUAUUUCUGGUCAUUUAGUUUUUGUUCAAAGGUUUGUUUCCCCAAGGAUGUCGGGACCUGUUUGUCUAAGAUAUAUUCUUUUUUCAUUAUAUUAUACAGUACAUGAUUUGUUGUUUGCUCUUGUUUCUGUCAGGUGCAUUUCAAAAACUAGAAAGAGUAUAGUGCAUUAAUAUCUUUGGUUUGUGUGGGCAAGUCUUCAACUUCUUUUCGUCGAGGUAGUGCUGAUAGACAAAUGAAAGGAAGCCCCAAAUAGCUAAAACUAUGGAGAAG